RNAcentral lists this ribosomal RNA (237 nucleotides) under uncultured bacterium. RNAcentral describes it as "partial 16S ribosomal RNA". It matches the Rfam family "Bacterial small subunit ribosomal RNA", at positions 1147 to 1382 of the family's 1533-position model. The record is from RNAcentral.
GACUGCCUCGGGAUAACGGGGAGGAAGGUGGGGAUGACGUCAAGUCCGCAUGCUCCUUACGUCUAGGGCUACACACGUCCUACAAUGGGGUCGACAAUGGGAUGCAAUAUCGCAAGAUGGAGCCAAUCCCCAAACGGCCUCUCAGUUCGGAUUGUAGUCUGCAACUCGACUACAUGAAGUUGGAAUCGCUAGUAAUGGCAGAUCAGCAUGCUGCCGUCGAAUACGUUCCCGGGUCUU